CUGCUCCGGGGCCUCGGCUGUCUCGAGGCGCUCGCGCUCGGCAUGCUGCUCAACGUCAAGGGCUACUUCCACAUCUACUGCGCGCUCGCCGCCUUUGAGGCCGGCAUCAUAUUCACCGACAAGUCCUUCAUGGCCAUCAUCUUCAUGGUGGCGCUCAACGUCGCCGUCACGCCCAUGGUGGGAAUGGGGAUCGCCUCCUGGGCACGCCGGAGCGUGCAGUGGCGCCUCAUGGGCCUCCAGCACCACGACCCGUCCACAGAGCUGCGCCUCGUCGCCGGCCUCCGUGGCCCGCAGGAAGUGCCGACCCUCGCGUUCCUCAUGGAGUCGCUCCGGUGGGGCGCCGGCAACGGCGAGAUUGCGUGCUACGCCGUGGACAUGGUGCAGCUGACGGACCAGACGGCGUCUUCGACCGUGAAAAGCGGUGGGUUGGACGGCGUGACAGUGGUGGACGAGGAGGUGUCGGAGAUGCGGAAGCUGAUCGGCGAGGCGCUAGACGCGUACCAGGCGGAGUGCGGCGGCAAGGUGAAGGUGCGCCGGCUGCUGGCGCUGUCGUCGUUCCCGGACAUGCACAGUGACCUGUGCAUCUGCGCCGAGGACGCCAUGGCAGCGCUGAUCCUAGUGCCGUUCCACAAGACACAGUGCCUGGACGGCACCAUGGACGGCGGCCACUUCGGGUUUCGGCUGGUGAACCAGAAGGUGCUACAGCUAGCGCCAUGCUCGGUGGGGAUCAUCGUGGACCGCGGCCUCGGCAAGCAGCAGCGUCCAGAUAGCACGGCGCAGGCGUCGGUUGUGGUGGUAUUCAUCGGCGGCGCGGACGACCGGGAGGCACUGACGCUGGCGUCGUUCAUGUGCAAGCAACAGGCUUUGGUGCGGCUGACGGCGCUACGGGUGGUGCAGAACGCGAUGGCGCAGGCGCGGGCUAAGGCGCGGACGAGUCUCUUCGAGUCCAAGAGCAAGCGGCAUAUGCCUAUGGCGGCGACGACAACGGGGCAGGAGGAGCUGCAGGCGCAGGCGGACGACAAGUUCUUCGCCGAGUUCUACCGGAAGCACGUCGCCGGCAACAAGUCCGUCGGGUACCUCGAGAAGCACGUGGCGGACGGGGCGGAGCUGGUGGCGGUGCUGCGGGGGAUGCAGGGGGACUACCGGCUUUUCGUGGUGGGGAAGGGAAGGGACCGCAACUCGGUGCUCACCGAGGGGUUGGAGGAGUGGGCAGAGUGCCUGGAGCUCGGGCUCGUCGGCGACAUCCUAGCCUCGUCGGACUUCUCAACCACCGCCUCCGUGCUCAUCGUGCAGCAGUACGACGCCAAGAAGCACUACAAGGUGAUCGAUGAGGAGUUCAUGCCCUUGUAA
This 1350-nucleotide ribosomal RNA is filed under the name Triticum aestivum (bread wheat). RNAcentral describes it as "partial small subunit ribosomal RNA". The record is from RNAcentral. Lineage: Eukaryota; Viridiplantae; Streptophyta; Magnoliopsida; Poales; Poaceae.